GACGAACGCUGGCGGCGUGCUUAACACAUGCAAGUCGAACGGAAAGGCCCUGCUUUUGUGGGGUGCUCGAGUGGCGAACGGGUGAGUAACACGUGAGUAACCUGCCCUUGACUUUGGGAUAACUUCAGGAAACUGGGGCUAAUACCGGAUAGGAGCUCCUGCUGCAUGGUGGGGGUUGGAAAGUUUCGGCGGUUGGGGAUGGACUCGCGGCUUAUCAGCUUGUUGGUGGGGUAGUGGCUUACCAAGGCUUUGACGGGUAGCCGGCCUGAGAGGGUGACCGGCCACAUUGGGACUGAGAUACGGCCCAGACUCCUACGGGAGGCAGCAGUGGGGAAUAUUGCACAAUGGGCGGAAGCCUGAUGCAGCAACGCCGCGUGCGGGAUGACGGCCUUCGGGUUGUAAACCGCUUUCGCCUGUGACGAAGCGUGAGUGACGGUAAGGGGUAAAGAAGCACCGGCUUACUACGUG
Molecule: ribosomal RNA, 468 nt
Filed under: uncultured bacterium
Lineage: Bacteria
Description: partial 16S ribosomal RNA
Rfam family: Bacterial small subunit ribosomal RNA
Source: RNAcentral